Molecule: ribosomal RNA, 41 nt
Filed under: Xylaria psidii
Lineage: Eukaryota; Fungi; Ascomycota; Sordariomycetes; Xylariales; Xylariaceae
Also listed under: 1 other name
Description: partial 28S ribosomal RNA
Source: RNAcentral
GGAUCAGGUAGGAAUACCCGCUGAACUUAAGCAUAUCAAUA